Molecule: transfer RNA, 75 nt
Filed under: compost metagenome
Description: tRNA-Met
Rfam family: tRNA
About the family: Transfer RNA (tRNA) molecules are approximately 80 nucleotides in length. Their secondary structure includes four short double-helical elements and three loops (D, anti-codon, and T loops).
Source: RNAcentral
GGGCCAUUAGCUCACUGGGCAGAGCCAGCGGCUCAUAACCGCUAGGGGAAGGCUCGAAACCUUCAUGGCCCACCA